RNAcentral lists this ribosomal RNA (424 nucleotides) under uncultured prokaryote. Its description in RNAcentral is "bacterial SSU rRNA". It matches the Rfam family "Bacterial small subunit ribosomal RNA", at positions 355 to 796 of the family's 1533-position model. The record is from RNAcentral.
CAAGGAAUUUUCCCCAAUGGGCGCAAGCCUGAGGGAGCAACGCCGCGUGCAGGACGACGGCCUUCGGGUUGUAAACUGCUUUUGCGUGGGACGAUAACGACGGUACCACGCGAAUCAGCCCCGGCUAACUCUGUGCCAGCAGCCGCGGUAAGACGGAGGGCGCUAGCGUUGUUCGGAAUCACUGGGCGUAAAGGGCGCGUAGGCGGCUGUUUAAGUCGAGGGUGAAAGCCCGGGGCUCAACCCCGGAACGGCCUUCGAGACUGGGCAGCUCGAGACCGGAAGAGGAGGGUGGAAUACCCAGUGUAGAGGUGAAAUUCGUAGAUAUUGGGUGGAACACCAGUGGCGAAAGCGGCUCUCUGGUCCGGAUCUGACGCUGAGGCGCGAAAGCGUGGGGAGCAAACAGGAUUAGAUACCCCCGUAGUCC